Molecule: ribosomal RNA, 449 nt
Filed under: uncultured bacterium
Lineage: Bacteria
Description: bacterial SSU rRNA
Rfam family: Bacterial small subunit ribosomal RNA
Source: RNAcentral
UCCCAGACUCCUACGGGAGGCAGCAGUGGGGAAUAUUGCGCAAUGGGGGAAACCCUGACGCAGCAACGCCGCGUGCGGGAUGAAGGCUUUCGGGUUGUAAACCGCUUUCAGCAGGGAAGAUAAUGACGGUACCUGCAGAAGAAGCCCCGGCUAACUACGUGCCAGCAGCCGCGGUAAUACGUAGGAUCCGAGCAUUAUCCGGAGUGACUGGGUGUAAAGAGUUGCGUAGGUGGCAUAGUAAGUAGCUAGUGAAAUCUGGUGGCUCAACCAUUCAGACUAUUAGCUAAACUGCUAAGCUCGAGACCGUGAGGGGUAACUGGAAUUUCUAGUGUAGGAGUGAAAUCCGUAGAUAUUAGAAGGAACACCGAUAGCGUAGGCAGGUUACUGGGACGGUUCUGACACUAAGGCACGAAAGCGUAGGGAGCAAACGGGAUUAGAUACCCGCGUAC